RNAcentral lists this ribosomal RNA (194 nucleotides) under uncultured bacterium. RNAcentral describes it as "partial 16S ribosomal RNA". It matches the Rfam family "Bacterial small subunit ribosomal RNA", at positions 1307 to 1500 of the family's 1533-position model. The record is from RNAcentral.
GCAACUCGCCUGCAUGAAGUCGGAAUUGCUAGUAAUCGCGGAUCAGCAUGCCGCGGUGAAUACGUUCCCGGGCCUUGUACACACCGCCCGUCACACCAUGGGAGUCGGUAACACCCGAAGCCUGUAGUCUAACCGCAAGGGGGACGCAGUCGAAGGUGGGAUUGAUGACUGGGGUGAAGUCGUAACAAGGUAGC